UACGUAGGGGGCUAGCGUUGUCCGGAUUUAUUGGGCGUAAAGAGCGUGUAGGCGGCCUGGUAGGUCUGCUGUGAAAACUCGAGGCUCAACCUCGAGACGUCGGUUGAAACCGUACGGCUAGAGUCCGGAAGAGGAGAGUGGAAUUCCCGGUGUAGCGGUGAAAUGCGCAGAUAUCGGGAAGAACACCCGUGGCGAAGGCGGCUCUCUGGGACGGUACUGACGCUGAGACGCGAAAGCGUGGGGAGCGAACAGG
Molecule: ribosomal RNA, 253 nt
Filed under: uncultured bacterium
Lineage: Bacteria
Description: partial 16S ribosomal RNA
Rfam family: Bacterial small subunit ribosomal RNA
Source: RNAcentral